UGUCUUCUAAUCAAUCGUCUCUGUCCUCCUCUCUCUCACACCUCGUCCACUGCAGCUACGUAUGCAGUUUGAGGCAAUGUCCGUCGUUAAGCCACCGCUGAUGCUUUAGCUAUGAGAGCUGAGGAUAUAUUGCAACAUGGACUGUCGCUCGAAAAUGGAAGCAUUGGUAAUGUGGUCGUGGUUUUAAGGCACACGGCUUACUAAGUUCUGAAGAGAGUCGUUUUGUGCGAGAGUGAGGUUCGAUGACUGGAAAUAUUACAGGAAUAAUUCAGUCGAAGAACGGUCGCUUUGUGUACUGUUCGUGUUUUCAUCUAACUUGUUCGCAUGAGUCUGAGUCUCCUAUUGGGAACUUACCGAUUCAUUUGUUCCUAGACAGGACCGCAUUCCUCAUUUUCAAAUUUAUUGAUGUAUGAAUGGAGAAUUAUUCGAGUAAUAUGAUUAGUAUUUGUGAUUCAUUUUGUGAAUGCAUGGCGGAAGCUUCAUCGAAGGUCACUCUGAAUUUCUUCAUGUGUGUUUUCCUUUCAGUUAUGAUUGUAGCCUAGUGAUAGUCCAGGUUGAUUCUUUUCUUUGAAUGGCCAGUUGAUCAUGCCCUGAGUUUACUGCAUUCCACUGUUUUUAGUCCUGUUUGAAUGCCAGACCUACUUAUUAGGAUUGGUUUGACGUUAAAUCUUGUUCCUUACGAUUUGUAACGCUCGGGAUACUGAUGUAUAUCCAAAUGUUUGUGAGAACUUUGGCGUCUCAAAAAUGGACCUUGGUGCACUGUCCAGUGAUGUUAAUAACGUACUGUCGAUCAUGUUGAUCUAGAGUGGUGGCGGAUACUCCCUUUCUGAUGUCUUUUUUCAUCCCUCUGUCUCAAUCUCUCUUACUACCCUAUCCGUAUUCUUUCUCUACUGCACGACCCUUUGCAGUGUGAGGUAGUAUCUGCCAUUUAACCACCGCUGAUGCUGUAGCUAUGAGAGCUGAGGACAAUUUGCACCUAUGAGACUUGCUGUUUUGUCUGCACGUCUUGGUUACCUUUCUGGAUGACGGUCACUGUUUGCCCAUGAACCUUGGUUUACCAACAUGAAAUUAGUUACAAAGCACGUGGAUUUUAAGUUCUGGCACAUUCUGCCAAGUCACGUUAAUGCGACGUUAGCCUCUGAUAAUGCUUGGGUGAAACAGAAGUAUCUGCCCUUCUGAUUUCAACAGUUACCAAAACAUCAGUGUUAGUAACACUGCAGUUCUGUAAUUGUUACACAUUGUUGUGUCCUGUCGGGUCCUACAUGUUCCACAAUUUCAACAGAGUGCCAAGUUCUUGUUUGAGACUGAUAUUUGAUAGUUCGUGGUGCUCUGUAUGAGCUUUGCUUUAGCGCACAAGCUUUCACUAUGUAACCCACUUCUGUUGGAAUAUAUGGCAACUGUUGACAGGGCCUGGUGUUUUUUAUCUGCGACUAAAUGUAAUCCUAUUUCUUGCAUGCCACUUCUACAUCUUGGGUCAAAGCUCAUCGCAGC
Molecule: long non-coding RNA, 1491 nt
Filed under: Physcomitrium patens
Lineage: Eukaryota; Viridiplantae; Streptophyta; Bryopsida; Funariales; Funariaceae
Description: long non-coding RNA (PPAT_LNC005704)
Source: RNAcentral